RNAcentral lists this ribosomal RNA (482 nucleotides) under uncultured bacterium. RNAcentral's name for it is "partial 16S ribosomal RNA". It matches the Rfam family "Bacterial small subunit ribosomal RNA", at positions 28 to 523 of the family's 1533-position model. The record is from RNAcentral.
GAUGAACGCUGGCGGCGUGCUUAACACAUGCAAGUCGAACGGUGAAAGAGAGCUUGCUCUCUGGAUCAGUGGCGAACGGGUGAGUAACACGUGAGCAAUCUGCCCCUGACUCUGGGAUAAGCGCUGGAAACGGCGUCUAAUACCGGAUACGAGCUGCGAAGGCAUCUUCAGCAGCUGGAAAGAACUUCGGUCAGGGAGGAGCUCGCGGCCUAUCAGCUGGUUGGUGAGGGAAUGGCUCACCAAGGCGUCGAAGGGUAGCCGGCCUGAGAGGGUGACCGGCCACACUGGGACUGAGACACGGCCCAGACUCCUACGGGAGGCAGCAGUGGGGAAUAUUGCACAAUGGGCGCAAGCCUGAUGCAGCAACGCCGCGUGAGGGACGACGGCCUUCGGGUUGUAAACCUCUUUUAGCAGGGAAGAAGCGAAAGUGACGGUACCUGCAGAAAAAGCACCGGCUAACUACGUGCCAGCCGCCGCCGUAA